CCAUGGCCAGGGCAGAAGAGCUGAUACUGAGUUUGGUGGCAGUAGCACCCCAGUUCUUACUUGAAAAUGAAAGCAGACAUAGCACACUGUGGUAUUUACAGAUCCAUUUACAGGUCCUUAUUUCAGGGUGAAGAUGACUUUCAGAUGGGAGAAAACAGAAUGCUGAAGCAGGGAUCUCUGCUAGGUCUCUUCAUCAAGAAAGAGUGAGAGCAGGAGCCCUGAGAUGAGGCAGCAGCUUCAGCCCUGCAGGAGGACAGACUUCUGGAAGAAGAAAGCCUCUGGUUUCCAGGAGCUCUGCUCUUCACAAAAUGGUUUAUCCCAUCUGAAGAACUCUGUAACAGAACCACUUCAGCCACCACAUUAUCUUGAUUCUUUCUAACAGGUACACGGGCAAAGGAAGAUAUUACUGACAUCAACUGAAUAAAAAGUAACUCCUGUAAAAAUA
Passer domesticus (house sparrow) is the source of this 445-nucleotide long non-coding RNA. RefSeq lists it as uncharacterized. The transcript has 3 exons. The record is from RefSeq and is a predicted model, not a curated record. Lineage: Eukaryota; Metazoa; Chordata; Aves; Passeriformes; Passeridae.